UACAGGGGGGGCAAGCGUUGUUCGGAAUUACUGGGCGUAAAGGGUUCGUAGGUGGCCAACUAAGUCAGACGUGAAAUCCCUCAGCUUAACUGGGGAACUGCCUCUGAUACUGGUUGGCUUGAGUGCAGGAGAGGAAUGCGGAAUUCCAGGUGUAGCGGUGAAAUGCGUAGAUAUCUGGAGGAACACCGGUGGCGAAGGCGGCAUUCUGGACUGUAACUGACACUGAGGAACGAAAGCCAGGGGAGCAAACGGGAUUAGAUACCCCGGUAGUCCUGGCCCUAAACGAUGAAUGCUUGGUGUGGCGGGUAUCGAUCCCUGCCGUGCCGAAGUUAACGCGAUAAGCAUUCCGCCUGGGGAGUACGGUCGCAAGGCUG
RNAcentral lists this ribosomal RNA (374 nucleotides) under uncultured prokaryote. RNAcentral's name for it is "bacterial SSU rRNA". It matches the Rfam family "Bacterial small subunit ribosomal RNA", at positions 524 to 896 of the family's 1533-position model. The record is from RNAcentral.